RNAcentral lists this long non-coding RNA (598 nucleotides) under Bos taurus (domestic cattle). RNAcentral's name for it is "long non-coding RNA NONBTAT016264". Lineage: Eukaryota; Metazoa; Chordata; Mammalia; Artiodactyla; Bovidae. The record is from RNAcentral.
CAUUUAAGUUAUGCAGUUUUUUUUAAAGUAUGUAGUGUGAUUUUUUUCACUUAUUGUCACUUUAAUAUAAUGUCAUGAUCAUUUUAAGUCAGUAGUCCUACUGAAAGAGUAAAGUUUUGGUAUUUGUAUUUAUUCAUGCCUAGUUAAAUUUAACAGCAACAUGAAAUAAAUGAUUACCUGUUUGGAUAUAAUUUCAUAAUAAGGCCUCUGAAGGUCGUUUGAAAUACUGCACUAAUUAAUGUUUUAUUUCCAGCCUUCCUUAAUUAUUCUAGCCAGAUGGUCCUUUAUUUAUGUUAUUGCUAGAGGUUUCCAGCUGAGGUUGUUUGAUUGUUGAAGAAAAAUAUGUGAUGGCACCAUAAGAUAACUGUAAUUGAAUUGUUAGGUAUGUUCGAGCAUUCACGCCUUCUGUCCCUGUUUUAGCCACAUCUGGGAAAUAAGUUUGUUAACAAAGCACUUUGACACCUCAUCUGAUAACUUGAGUGGAAUUCUGAACUGUGCAGAAGGAAUUCAGAUGGGAAAAUGACUCUGCGUUUAUUGUAAAAGGAUACACUUUGCAAACAUCUCUCUGUGCAAAAUUUGUUUUGUGGAUGAUAGGAAA